AGACGAGAUACAAAUUUGAAGAGGAGAAUACUACGAGAAAAUGUGAAAGGUGCAUGAAGCCUGUACUGUCAACUAUUGUGUUCAAAAUCCUGGUAUCCUAUUGAAUAUGUCAUCCAAAUGACAGAGUGGAUUUUCAUCACUAUUAUCAGCUGAAUCAUUCUAUGGGACUUUGCCAGAUCACCAACCCCACGCAUGGACCAAUCUCUCAUUCCAUCUUCUAGAGAACCUUGGAUAACCGAUUGGUGCUUUAGUGUGUUCUAAGUUUUCUAAUGCAACCUGACAGAUUUUAUGAGAAGUCAUGUCCAUUGAACAAAAAAGACAAUUACUAUACAGUCAAGGUAACCCGUUGGCUGCUGCCCUUGAAUAUCCCCUUUUACUUCAUGAAAGUGUAAACAGGCCAUCUUGAUUUGAGAGUAACUCCUUCGCUACUUAUCAUGGACUUCAUCCAUUGGUGAAAACCAAUGACAACCAGGAGGAAAAGAGUGUGCUGGUCGAACGGGGAACUUGCAAGCUAAGCCGGAAGCCUACUAUAUGAUUAAUCGUUCUCGUAAUAACUGUUCCUCAACUCUUCGCUCUUUUUCCGGUUUCUCCUUCCAAUCCCUGUCUGCAGUCAAUUAUGGCAGUUUCCCCCUGUCUUGAUUGACUCCAUGUGCGAGUUUUUAAAGCAAUUUAUCUCCCAAAUAACACAAAAGAAGUUGGUUAGGUUUGUUUUAUUUGGGUAUAAAUUGUUUUAAAACUUGUACUAAUAA
RNAcentral lists this long non-coding RNA (749 nucleotides) under Daphnia pulex (common water flea). RNAcentral describes it as "uncharacterized LOC124191069, transcript variant X2". Lineage: Eukaryota; Metazoa; Arthropoda; Branchiopoda; Diplostraca; Daphniidae. The record is from RNAcentral.